Molecule: ribosomal RNA, 472 nt
Filed under: uncultured bacterium
Lineage: Bacteria
Description: bacterial SSU rRNA
Rfam family: Bacterial small subunit ribosomal RNA
Source: RNAcentral
AUGGCUCAGGAUGAACGCUGGCGGCGUGCCUAACACAUGCAAGUCGAGCGAUUACUUCGGUAAAGAGCGGCGGACGGGUGAGUAACGCGUGGGUAACCUGCCUCAUACACAUGGAUAACAUACCGAAAGGUAUGCUAAUACAGGAUAAUAUAAGAGAUUCACAUGGAUUUUUUAUCAAAGCUCCGGCGGUAUGAGAUGGACCCGCGUCUGAUUAGCUAGUUGGUAAGGUAAUGGCUUACCAAGGCGACGAUCAGUAGCCGACCUGAGAGGGUGAUCGGCCACAUUGGAACUGAGACACGGUCCAAACUCCUACGGGAGGCAGCAGUGGGGAAUAUUGCACAAUGGGCGAAAGCCUGAUGCAGCAACGCCGCGUGAGUGAUGAAGGCCUUCGGGUACGUAAAACUCUGUCCUCAAGGAAGAUAAUGACGGUACUUGAGGAGGAAGCCCCGGCUAACUACGUGCCAGCCGCCGC